RNAcentral lists this ribosomal RNA (506 nucleotides) under Pseudomonas sp. RNAcentral's name for it is "bacterial SSU rRNA". It matches the Rfam family "Bacterial small subunit ribosomal RNA", at positions 68 to 570 of the family's 1533-position model. Lineage: Bacteria; Pseudomonadati; Pseudomonadota; Gammaproteobacteria; Pseudomonadales; Pseudomonadaceae. The record is from RNAcentral.
GAUGACAGGAGCUUGCUCCUGGAUUCAGCGGCGGACGGGUGAGUAAUGCCUAGGAAUCUGCCUGGUAGUGGGGGACAACGUUUCGAAAGGAACGCUAAUACCGCAUACGUCCUACGGGAGAAAGCAGGGGACCUUCGGGCCUUGCGCUAUCAGAUGAGCCUAGGUCGGAUUAGCUUGUUGGUGAGGUAAUGGCUCACCAAGGCGACGAUCCGUAACUGGUCUGAGAGGAUGAUCAGUCACACUGGAACUGAGACACGGUCCAGACUCCUACGGGAGGCAGCAGUGGGGAAUAUUGGACAAUGGGCGAAAGCCUGAUCCAGCCAUGCCGCGUGUGUGAAGAAGGUCUUCGGAUUGUAAAGCACUUUAAGUUGGGAGGAAGGGUUGUAGAUUAAUACUCUGCAAUUUUGACGUUACCGACAGAAUAAGCACCGGCUAACUCUGUGCCAGCAGCCGCGGUAAUACAGAGGGUGCAAGCGUUAAUCGGAAUUACUGGGCGUAAAGCGCGC